The sequence is a transfer RNA, 77 nucleotides long. It matches the Rfam family "tRNA". From Rfam's summary of the family: Transfer RNA (tRNA) molecules are approximately 80 nucleotides in length. Their secondary structure includes four short double-helical elements and three loops (D, anti-codon, and T loops). Further hydrogen bonds mediate the characteristic L-shaped molecular structure. tRNAs have two regions of fundamental functional importance: the anti-codon, which is responsible for specific mRNA codon recognition, and the 3' end, to which the tRNAs corresponding amino acid is attached (by aminoacyl-tRNA synthetases). tRNAs cope with the degeneracy of the genetic code in two manners: having more than one tRNA (with a specific anti-codon) for a particular amino acid; and 'wobble' base-pairing, i.e. permitting non-standard base-pairing at the 3rd anti-codon position.
CGGGCUAUAGCUCAGUAGGCUAGAGCGCUUGCAUGGGGUGCAAGAGGUCGUCGGUUCAAGUCCGGCUAGCCCGACCA